CCGACAUUGGUGACUUUGUAUUUGGGUUGGUUUUAGGGACUGCUAUGGAAGCUGACUACAGUUUGUCACCUACCACUGCUGGAUUUAACUUUUUUGAACCAAGUAAUAUAUUUACCAGAGCUACAGCAUCUAGUCCCAUCAACCAACCAUUUAGUGAUAGUCAGCCAUUGAAGAUUACCACUGCCUGUUCACGAUCCGAGAUAUGUUUGUAUUAUACAAGUCCUGUCUUUUCACCGGGCGGUAAAAACGUGUUAAUCUAUGGAGAAGAAGGAAAGUUUGUAGCUAUGUCGAGUAAACGUGUAAGAGAUAUCACUGUUGAUACUGAUGAUUUACUUAUUACAGUGAUUGGUGGUGUUAAUGAACAGAUUAAGUUUGGAUUUAUAGAAGCCAAUCAAUAUAUAUCUAUAUCAUGUAACUUAGGUGCUACAGGUUCUGCUAUUAUCAGUUUUAUGGCACAAUCUUGUUCUGGACUUUGAGU
Long non-coding RNA from Patella vulgata (common limpet), 478 nucleotides. RefSeq lists it as uncharacterized. The record is from RefSeq and is a predicted model, not a curated record. The transcript has 3 exons. Lineage: Eukaryota; Metazoa; Mollusca; Gastropoda; Patellidae.